RNAcentral lists this ribosomal RNA (1522 nucleotides) under Salmonella enterica subsp. enterica serovar Senftenberg. RNAcentral's name for it is "bacterial SSU rRNA". It matches the Rfam family "Bacterial small subunit ribosomal RNA". Lineage: Bacteria; Pseudomonadati; Pseudomonadota; Gammaproteobacteria; Enterobacterales; Enterobacteriaceae. The record is from RNAcentral.
AGAGUUUGAUCAUGGCUCAGAUUGAACGCUGGCGGCAGGCCUAACACAUGCAAGUCGAACGGUAACAGGAAGCAGCUUGCUGCUUUGCUGACGAGUGGCGGACGGGUGAGUAAUGUCUGGGAAACUGCCUGAUGGAGGGGGAUAACUACUGGAAACGGUGGCUAAUACCGCAUAACGUCGCAAGACCAAAGAGGGGGACCUUCGGGCCUCUUGCCAUCAGAUGUGCCCAGAUGGGAUUAGCUGGUUGGUGAGGUAACGGCUCACCAAGGCGACGAUCCCUAGCUGGUCUGAGAGGAUGACCAGCCACACUGGAACUGAGACACGGUCCAGACUCCUACGGGAGGCAGCAGUGGGGAAUAUUGCACAAUGGGCGCAAGCCUGAUGCAGCCAUGCCGCGUGUAUGAAGAAGGCCUUCGGGUUGUAAAGUACUUUCAGCGGGGAGGAAGGUGUUGUGGUUAAUAACCGCAGCAAUUGACGUUACCCGCAGAAGAAGCACCGGCUAACUCCGUGCCAGCAGCCGCGGUAAUACGGAGGGUGCAAGCGUUAAUCGGAAUUACUGGGCGUAAAGCGCACGCAGGCGGUCUGUCAAGUCGGAUGUGAAAUCCCCGGGCUCAACCUGGGAACUGCAUUCGAAACUGGCAGGCUUGAGUCUUGUAGAGGGGGGUAGAAUUCCAGGUGUAGCGGUGAAAUGCGUAGAGAUCUGGAGGAAUACCGGUGGCGAAGGCGGCCCCCUGGACAAAGACUGACGCUCAGGUGCGAAAGCGUGGGGAGCAAACAGGAUUAGAUACCCUGGUAGUCCACGCCGUAAACGAUGUCUACUUGGAGGUUGUGCCCUUGAGGCGUGGCUUCCGGAGCUAACGCGUUAAGUAGACCGCCUGGGGAGUACGGCCGCAAGGUUAAAACUCAAAUGAAUUGACGGGGGCCCGCACAAGCGGUGGAGCAUGUGGUUUAAUUCGAUGCAACGCGAAGAACCUUACCUGGUCUUGACAUCCACGGAAGAAUUCAGAGAUGGAUUUGUGCCUUCGGGAACCGUGAGACAGGUGCUGCAUGGCUGUCGUCAGCUCGUGUUGUGAAAUGUUGGGUUAAGUCCCGCAACGAGCGCAACCCUUAUCCUUUGUUGCCAGCGGUUAGGCCGGGAACUCAAAGGAGACUGCCAGUGAUAAACUGGAGGAAGGUGGGGAUGACGUCAAGUCAUCAUGGCCCUUACGACCAGGGCUACACACGUGCUACAAUGGCGCAUACAAAGAGAAGCGACCUCGCGAGAGCAAGCGGACCUCAUAAAGUGCGUCGUAGUCCGGAUUGGAGUCUGCAACUCGACUCCAUGAAGUCGGAAUCGCUAGUAAUCGUGGAUCAGAAUGCCACGGUGAAUACGUUCCCGGGCCUUGUACACACCGCCCGUCACACCAUGGGAGUGGGUUGCAAAAGAAGUAGGUAGCUUAACCUUCGGGAGGGCGCUUACCACUUUGUGAUUCAUGACUGGGGUGAAGUCGUAACAAGGUAACCGUAGGGGAACCUGCGGUUG